Non-coding RNA from Gossypium arboreum, 71 nucleotides. NCBI's taxonomy places the organism in Eukaryota, Viridiplantae, Streptophyta, Magnoliopsida, Malvales, Malvaceae. The record is from Rfam.
GGCUGGAUGGCAGAAUGGUUAUGCAGCGGAUUGCAAAUCCGUUAAAAUCGGUUCAAUUCCGAUUCCAGCCU